AGAUUGAUGAUGACACUCAAAUUACAAUCUUUUGAAAAACUGAACAAAAUGAGUAAAACCCUAAACCAUUGUUAUCAUUACUGAGGUCC
Small nucleolar RNA from Octodon degus (degu), 89 nucleotides. Its record names the gene SNORD116. It matches the Rfam family "Small nucleolar RNA SNORD116". From Rfam's summary of the family: HBII-85 is a member of the C/D class of snoRNAs, which contain the C (UGAUGA) and D (CUGA) box motifs. HBII-85 is encoded in a tandemly repeated array with another C/D snoRNA, HBII-52, in the Prader-Willi syndrome (PWS) region of chromosome 15. Unlike most other snoRNAs, HBII-85 is expressed prevalently in the brain (but is absent in PWS patients) and lacks any significant complementarity with ribosomal RNA. The record is from Ensembl. Lineage: Eukaryota; Metazoa; Chordata; Mammalia; Rodentia; Octodontidae.